AUGCCCUCCUCCAGGGAGUCUUCCUGCCCCAGGGAUUGAACCCGCGUCUCUUGUAUAUCCUGUAUUCACAAUACAGAUGGUUAAAGAAAGUUGUUACUCUCACCCUCACUGUAACUAGCGAGAACAGUCUGGCUCCAUCUUCCUCGCCUUUGUCUUGCUCAUAUGUGUGUGUGGAAACAUACGUACUAUACGUGGGGUUUUCAUUUUGUAAAAAACUGGAAUUCUUUACUGAGUAGUUGAUUUCUCACUUGGAAACCAUCACAAUCUUUGCUCCAGAGAAGCAUCUCAGUCUCUCCUUUGGUUUUCAAGGUGUGGCCACCCGCGUUAGGUCAGCUCACACCUUCUGUGGCUAUUCCAGGCAUGUCUGGUUAUGGGACACCACAAACGAUGCCGCUGGAUAUAAAUAUGUGAACAUAUGUGUGCUUUCACUUCAAGGGCUAUAUCUCCCAAUCGGGUAUUGCGAGGUCAAAAAGCUUUUGUAGUUUUAGUUGCCAAGUUGCUUUCCAGGAAGGUGUCACCAUUGCCCACUUACUGAGCACAUAAGAUGUCCUAGGCUUGGCAUGAACUCCUUAUUCUCCUGACUUUGAGCCUCACGCCCUCUCUGCUUUGUUGACAGUGACCAGCUCAUCCAUUCAGGCCAAGUCCUGUGUGCGGACGGGUGGAGGCCCGGAGGAGGGCAGACAGAGGCUCCUCCAGGGCCCCAGCCCAGCUUCUCAGCCUGCUGCUUUUCCUGCCCCCUUGGUCCUUGGUCAUUAGGGCAUGGAUUCAUUUUACCAGCCAACAUUGUUUCUCUCUUCUUAGGCAAGAUGAGAAUUCCACCUGCUUCUGCAUUUGCCCAACCUGCGGCUCUAGCAGAGCACUGGCAACACUUUGUCCUGUAUUCAGGGGAGCGGAGGGCGUCCAGAGGGUGUCCUUCUCACACCCGUCCUUUGAGUUCCAUGCAGACAAAGCCCGUCUGUCAUCUUGUGCCCCUGCAGAGAGUCACCUGGUGCCGAGUCGCUGAAACUCACUGCCAGUUCUCAGUUUGGGUCCCGCCCCCCAUGACUUCACUGCUCAGCCAGCCUUGGAGGGAAGAAGGCAUCUUGCCGGGAUUCCUGAGCUCGCUGACUUGCCAAGGUGAUGGAAACUACAACCCAGCUUGAUCCUUUGGGGGCAGGAAAGAGGGCGAGGACUGCGUCGUACAGAAGAGGACAUCCAGUGACAAGCCCCAUAUCUCCGGGGUUCCGUCCUCUCUGAAUCCACGUCCACGUGUGCUGCAUGUGGCCCCGCCUUGGCUCUGUGGACGCCGGUCACUGUGGUGGGACCUGGUGGGUGACUCACACACUGGCUCCAAAGGCACCCCCAGAAGUGACCCAGCAUCACUGCUGCUCACGUUUCCUUGGCCACAUCCUGUCCCAUGGAGGCAGAGAAGAGCAGGUCAGAGUGUGCUCGGAAGAGAUGAACCUGAAUUUUUGUCGACACCCCUGCCGUGGGGGCCACAUAGGUAGAUGAUGGGAGAAAAAAAAGAGAGAGAGAGAAAGGGCAGCAUAUUCUAGGACAUAAAUAAAACUCUCUCUCGUAAGAGAUUCGCUAACCGAUUCUGCCAAAAGAGAAGUCCCCAAAAUGCUGUGAUAAAUGGCGACAUCACUGUAACCAAUUUACGGUGAUUCCUUUGAAGGACAACAGUCAUCUUUCUGCAGAAAGAUGUUCUGUGAAGAACGCUGGAGCACUUGUCAGCCCACAUGGGCAUCCUUAAUACAUGGCCUGACCCGUGCACCCAUUACCAUAAACUCAACCACAGACAGACACCCGGAGGCGGGGCCGCCUGAGCUGCAGCCCAAAGGGAGAGCAGACUCUGCCUGCAGCAGAACGCGUGCCCCUGACUUCCCAGAAAGCCGGGGCUUGGUUUUCUCCAAGGCUUCUGGUUCUUUCUGUCCCUGCUGGAAGCAUAACUUCUCAUUUCAGAGUCACAUAGUGUAUCCGCUCCUUAAAUAUGACUGAUAGGAGGAAAUCUCAGCGCCCCUCUAGCUGUUUGCCCUGUUUUCACGCUGUGGGGUCUCUGGCUGAAAUGAAAAGUCUUGAUUUGGGGGAUUUGAAAUCAAAUAGGAGUUUUGAUGUGAGAGAGCAUGUUCAUUUCCACAUAGGAUAAUUUUACAGAUCGACUUAAUAAUAAUGUGUAAUAAACAAGCAAAUAAAUGGCUACAGCUUCCAUGGGGCUUGGCCAUCAUUCAAGCCCAGCCCUCGGUGCCUUUGGUAUCGAGAUGGAAGAGCUGCGGUGGUUGGCUUAUGGUCUUCACAGGAGCGGUGGGAGUGGCUUGUUCCUCUGUGACUCCAGGGUGGGGGAGAGGCUGAUGGUUCCGAGGCGAUGGUGGCCUUUCUGAUCCCAUUGAGAGAUGCCAAACUGUGUCCCCAAGUCUUUUGUUCUUUGGAGAAAACUUACACUGAAAUAAGAGAGCAAUAAAACCAGCUUGCUUGAUUU
Long non-coding RNA from Capra hircus (goat), 2458 nucleotides. RefSeq lists it as uncharacterized. The transcript is spliced from 2 exons. Lineage: Eukaryota; Metazoa; Chordata; Mammalia; Artiodactyla; Bovidae. The record is from RefSeq and is a predicted model, not a curated record.